UCUGGUCUUGUAGGUCCAUCUAAGUCCACCCACUCUUCAAGGCUCAAUGCACGUCUUCGCUUUCUCAGGGUACUUCACUGAGGCCUUGGGUCCAGGCGUGAUUCUCUCCUGAGUCCCUAGGACGUCUGUCUUGAAUACAUCCACUCUAAUGGCACUAGAUCUUUUAGUCUUUCGUUGUUUGUAAUCUGGGGCAUGAGGCAUUGAGGCUGUUCCUCUUCCCAGUAUGUGGUCAUUAAUUGGUCUGUUUACCAGAGUUUUCAGCUUCAACAUCAGUCCUUCCAAUGAACUCAGGACUGAUCUCCUUUAGGACGGACUGGUUGGAUCUCCUUGCUGUCCAAGGAACUCUCAAGAGUCUUCUUCAACAUCACAUUUCAAAGGCAUCAGUUCUUCGGCACUCAUGUUGAAGCUGAAACUCCAAUACUUUGGCCACCUCAUGUGAAGAACUGACUCAUUUGAAAAGUCCCUGAUGUUUGGAAAGAAUGAAGGCAGGAGGAGAAGGGGACGACAGAGGAUAAGAUGGUUGGAUGGCACCACUGACUCAAUGGACAUGAGUUUGAGUAAACUCCAGGAGUUGGUGAUGGACAGGGAGGCCUGGCGUGCUACAGUCCAUGGGGUCGCAAAGAGUAGGACACGAAUGAGUGAACUGAACUGACCAGAGUUUUCAGGUCUUUCUCCAUUUCCAGACUCAUGGGAGCACAGCACAACGGCUGGUGUAUGUUCAAUAACUACUGCUGACUGGUAUCUACUGAGACAAGAGAGCAGCCCAGCCUGUUGUGCAGAGUACAGAAUGUUCUCUUCUGUGAACUAAGCUUGAACUUUUCCAACCCACUUUGUUUGAGGAACCAUACAGACACAGAGGGGAAAAAACAGGGAAGAUAACCCCCAAAUUGUUGAAAUCGUUGUGUUCUCUCUGAUUUUGGCCCUGAUCAUUUGCUUUUCACUGCUGGAAAUUAAAAAUCCCAAGCAUUACAA
This is a long non-coding RNA of Bos taurus (domestic cattle), 972 nucleotides long. NCBI's taxonomy places the organism in Eukaryota, Metazoa, Chordata, Mammalia, Artiodactyla, Bovidae. The record is from Ensembl.